UACGUAGGGGGCAAGCGUUGUCCGGAAUCAUUGGGCGUAAAGCGCGUGUAGGCGGCCUUGUAAGUCCGUUCUGAAAGUCCGGGGCUCAACCCCGGGAGGCGGAUGGAUACUGCAAGGCUCGAGUCCGGAAGAGGCAAGUGGAAUUCCCGGUGUAGCGGUGAAAUGCGCAGAUAUCAGGAGGAACACCGAUGGCGAAGGCAGGUCUCUGGGCAUUAACUGACGCUGAGGAGCGAAAGCAUGGGGAGCGAACAGG
This 253-nucleotide ribosomal RNA is filed under the name uncultured bacterium. RNAcentral describes it as "partial 16S ribosomal RNA". It matches the Rfam family "Bacterial small subunit ribosomal RNA", at positions 524 to 776 of the family's 1533-position model. The record is from RNAcentral.